RNAcentral lists this unclassified non-coding RNA (236 nucleotides) under Hevea brasiliensis (rubber tree). Lineage: Eukaryota; Viridiplantae; Streptophyta; Magnoliopsida; Malpighiales; Euphorbiaceae. The record is from RNAcentral.
AAAAAUUAAAUAUUUAAUUUUUUUUUUUUUACAGUUUUAAAUUUUCCAUAUUUGAGAAUUAUAAAAAAAAUAAUUAAAAUUUUCAAAUACGAUAAUAAAGAACUUCAAAUUCACAAUAAAAAUAUUUUUAAAAAUAAAAAAUAUCAAAUUCGAGUUUUUAUAUUUACUAAAUUUAAAAGUAUUAUCUCUAUAGCAAAAAAUUUUAUUUUUUAUUAUGUAAUUCAUUAUUUAUUUUU